UACAGAGGGGGCAAGCGUUGUUCGGAAUCACUGGGCGUAAAGGGCGUGUAGGCGGGAAGGAAAGUCAGAUGUGAAAUCCCUGGGCUCAACCCAGGAACUGCAUUUGAAACUCCCUUUCUUGAGUGUCGGAGAGGAAAGCGGAAUUCCUGGUGUAGAGGUGAAAUUCGUAGAUAUCAGGAGGAACACCGGUGGCGAAGGCGGCUUUCUGGACGACAACUGACGCUGAGGAGCGAAAGCAUGGGGAGCGAACAGG
This 253-nucleotide ribosomal RNA is filed under the name uncultured bacterium. Its description in RNAcentral is "partial 16S ribosomal RNA". It matches the Rfam family "Bacterial small subunit ribosomal RNA", at positions 524 to 776 of the family's 1533-position model. The record is from RNAcentral.